RNAcentral lists this small nuclear RNA (76 nucleotides) under Hucho hucho (huchen). Its description in RNAcentral is "Flavo-1 RNA (ENSHHUG00000010658.1)". The record is from RNAcentral. Lineage: Eukaryota; Metazoa; Chordata; Actinopteri; Salmoniformes; Salmonidae.
CCCUAGCCCCGAUAGCAGUGAAAAUCCUUUUCUUUUUUAAAGAAAAAAAAAGAAAAGAUUACUUCACUUAAUUUUC